This 301-nucleotide ribosomal RNA is filed under the name Massilia sp. Mn16-1_5. RNAcentral's name for it is "partial 23S ribosomal RNA". It matches the Rfam family "Bacterial large subunit ribosomal RNA", at positions 1385 to 1692 of the family's 2925-position model. The record is from RNAcentral. Lineage: Bacteria; Pseudomonadati; Pseudomonadota; Betaproteobacteria; Burkholderiales; Oxalobacteraceae.
CGGCCCCUAAGGCGAGGCAGAGAUGCGUAGCUGAUGGGAAGCAGGUUAAUAUUCCUGCACCGUCGUAUGAUGCGAUGGGGGGACGGAUCGCGGAAGGUUGUCUGACUGUUGGAAUAGUCAGUUUCUGGUUCAUAGGAGGUACUUAGGCAAAUCCGGGUACAGAAUCCAAGGGGCUGGGACGAGCGGCUUUAUGCUGCGAAGCAAUCGGAAGUGGUUCCAAGAAAAGCCUCUAAGCUUCAGUCAUACGAGACCGUACCGCAAACCGACACAGGUGGGCGAGAUGAGUAUUCUAAGGCGCUUG